GAUGAACGCUGGCGGCGUGCCUAAUACAUGCAAGUCGAGCGAAUGGAUUAAGAGCUUGCUCUUAUGAAGUUAGCGGCGGACGGGUGAGUAACACGUGGGUAACCUGCCCAUAAGACUGGGAUAACUCCGGGAAACCGGGGCUAAUACCGGAUAACAUUUUGAACCGCAUGGUUCGAAAUUGAAAGGCUGCUUCGGCUGUCACUUAUGGAUGGACCCGGGUCGCAUUAGCGAGUUGGUGAGGUAACGGCUCACCAAGGCAACGAUGCGUAGCCGACCUGAGAGGGUGAUCGGCCCCACUGGGACUGAGACACGGCCCAGACUCCUACGGGAGGCAGCAGUAGGGAAUCUUCCGCAAUGGACGAAAGUCUGACGGAGCAACGCCGCGUGAGUGAUGAGGGCUUUCGGGUCGUAAAACUCUGUUGUUAGGGAAGAACAAGUGCUAGUUGAAUAAGCUGGCACCUUGACGGUACCUAACCAGAAAGCCACGGCUAACUACGUGCCAGCCGCCGCGGUAA
This 515-nucleotide ribosomal RNA is filed under the name uncultured bacterium. RNAcentral describes it as "partial 16S ribosomal RNA". It matches the Rfam family "Bacterial small subunit ribosomal RNA", at positions 28 to 523 of the family's 1533-position model. The record is from RNAcentral.